UGUUGAUGUGUAUUAUUUGGGGGAACAGAA
RNAcentral lists this non-coding RNA (30 nucleotides) under Homo sapiens (human). Lineage: Eukaryota; Metazoa; Chordata; Mammalia; Primates; Hominidae. The record is from RNAcentral.